AGCGAACGUUUGCGGCGGGCCUAACACAUGCAAGUCGAACGCACUAGCAAUAGUGAGUGGCGCACGGGUGCGUAACACGUGGGUAAUCAACCCUUCAGCCUGGGAUAACGACUCGAAAGGGUCGCUAAUACCGGAUACGGCGCGAGAGGCUUCGGCUUCUCACGAGAAAGCCACGCAAGGGGCACUGAAGGACGAGCCUGCGGCCCAUCAGCUAGUUGGUGAGGUAAGAGCUCACCAAGGCUAAGACGGGUAGCUGGUCUGAGAGGAUGAUCAGCCACACUGGAACUGAGACACGGUCCAGACUCCUACGGGAGGCAGCAGUGGGGAAUAUUGCGCAAUGGGCGAAAGCCUGACGCAGCCACGCCGCGUGAGCGAUGAAGGCCUCGGGUCGUAAGCUCUGUGGGAGGAGACGAAGAAAGACCUGUGAAGAGCAGGCCUUGACGGUAGUCUCCUUAGCAAGCACCGGCUAACU
This 472-nucleotide ribosomal RNA is filed under the name uncultured bacterium. Its description in RNAcentral is "bacterial SSU rRNA". It matches the Rfam family "Bacterial small subunit ribosomal RNA", at positions 29 to 502 of the family's 1533-position model. The record is from RNAcentral.